UACGUAGGGUGCGAGCGUUAAUCGGAAUUACUGGGCGUAAAGCGCGCGUAGGCGGCUUUGCAAGUCGGGUGUGAAAUCCCCAGGCUUAACCUGGGAACUGCAUUUGUGACUGCAUAGCUAGAGUUUGUCAGAGGGGGGUGGAAUUCCACGUGUAGCAGUGAAAUGCGUAGAGAUGUGGAGGAACACCGAUGGCGAAGGCAGCCCCCUGGGACCUGACUGACGCUCAUGUACGAAAGCGUGGGGAGCAAACAGG
RNAcentral lists this ribosomal RNA (253 nucleotides) under uncultured bacterium. RNAcentral describes it as "partial 16S ribosomal RNA". It matches the Rfam family "Bacterial small subunit ribosomal RNA", at positions 524 to 776 of the family's 1533-position model. The record is from RNAcentral.